GAUGAACGCUGGCGGCGUGCUUAACACAUGCAAGUCGAACGGAAAGGCUCCUACUUUCCGGGGUUCUCGAUUGGCGAACGGGUGAGUAACACGUGUGUGAACUGCCCUUCACUUCGGGAUAAGCCUUGGGAACUGGGGCUAAUACCGGAUAGGACGUAUUUAUGGAUGUCAUUCUUGAGAGUUUUUGCGGUUUGGGAUCAGCUCUCGGCUUAUCAGCUAGUUGGUGGGGUAUUGGCAUACGAAGGCGUAGACGGGUCGCCGGCCUGAGAGGGUGUACGGCGACAUUGGGACUGAGAUACGGCGCAGAAUCCUACGGGAGGCAGCGGUGGAGAAUAUUGCACAAUGGGGGCAAGCCUGAUGCAGAGACGCCGGAUGCGGGAUGACGGCCUUCGGGUUGUAAACAACUUUCGCAGGAGACGAAGCGCAAGUGACGGUACCUGGAGAAGAAGCACCGGCUAACUACGUG
RNAcentral lists this ribosomal RNA (466 nucleotides) under uncultured bacterium. RNAcentral's name for it is "partial 16S ribosomal RNA". It matches the Rfam family "Bacterial small subunit ribosomal RNA", at positions 28 to 507 of the family's 1533-position model. The record is from RNAcentral.